Molecule: small RNA, 543 nt
Filed under: Sarocladium bacillisporum
Lineage: Eukaryota; Fungi; Ascomycota; Sordariomycetes; Hypocreales; Sarocladiaceae
Description: eukaryotic LSU rRNA
Rfam family: Eukaryotic large subunit ribosomal RNA
Source: RNAcentral
GAAACCAACAGGGAUUGCCUCAGUAACGGACGAGUGAAGCGGCAACAGCUCAAAUUUGAAAUCUGGCCGCAAGGUCCGAGUUGUAAUUUGUAGAGGAUGCUUUUGGCGAGGUGACUUCCGAGUUCCCUGGAACGGGACGCCAUAGAGGGUGAGAGCCCCGUACGGUCGUGCCACCGAGCCUCUGUAAAGCUCCUUCGACGAGUCGAGUAGUUUGGGAAUGCUGCUCUAAAUGGGAGGUGUACGUCUUCUAAAGCUAAAUACCGGCCAGAGACCGAUAGCGCACAAGUAGAGUGAUCGAAAGAUGAAAAGCACUUUGAAAAGAGGGUUAAAAAGUACGUGAAAUUGUUGAAAGGGAAGCAUUCAUGACCAGACUUGGGCUUGGUUGAACAUCCGGCGUUCUCGCCGGUGCACUCUGCCAGCUCAGGCCAGCAUCAGUUUGCCCCGGGGGACAAAGGCGGCGGGAAUGUGGCUCCCUACGGGGAGUGUUAUAGCCCGUCGUGUAAUGCCCUGGGGUGGACUGAGGUUCGCGCUCGGCACGGAUGC